CCUACGGGUGGCUGCAGUGGGGAAUAUUGGACAAUGGGCGAAAGCCUGAUCCAGCCAUGCCGCGUGUGUGAAGAAGGCCUUCGGGUUGUAAAGCACUUUCAGUGGGGAAGAAAGCCUUGGGGCUAAUACCCUCGAGGAAGGACAUCACCCACAGAAGAAGCACCGGCUAACUCCGUGCCAGCAGCCGCGGUAAUACGGAGGGUGCGAGCGUUAAUCGGAAUUACUGGGCGUAAAGCGCGCGUAGGCGGUCUGAUAAGCCGGUUGGGAAAGCCCCGGGCUCAACCUGGGAACGGCAUCCGGAACUGUCAGGCUAGAGUGCAGGAGAGGAAGGUAGAAUUCCCGGUGUAGCGGUGAAAUGCGUAGAGAUCGGGAGGAAUACCAGUGGCGAAGGCGGCCUUCUGGACUGACACUGACGCUGAGGUGCGAAAGCGUGGGUAGCAAACAGGAUUAGAUACCCGGGUAGUC
Molecule: ribosomal RNA, 465 nt
Filed under: Vreelandella stevensii
Lineage: Bacteria; Pseudomonadati; Pseudomonadota; Gammaproteobacteria; Oceanospirillales; Halomonadaceae
Description: partial 16S ribosomal RNA
Rfam family: Bacterial small subunit ribosomal RNA
Source: RNAcentral